This 97-nucleotide small RNA is filed under the name Salmonella enterica subsp. enterica serovar Thompson. Its description in RNAcentral is "partial RtT sRNA". It matches the Rfam family "RtT RNA", at positions 36 to 130 of the family's 130-position model. From Rfam's summary of the family: This family represents a bacterial cis-regulatory element known as RtT RNA. The exact function of RtT is unknown although it is thought that it may be involved in changing the cellular response in relation to amino acid starvation. The record is from RNAcentral. RNAcentral also lists the same sequence under 5 other names. Lineage: Bacteria; Pseudomonadati; Pseudomonadota; Gammaproteobacteria; Enterobacterales; Enterobacteriaceae.
CUAAGGUUCGAUUCGAGCGAAAGCGAGAAAGCGUUGCCGCAGGCAACGACCCGAAGGGCGAAACGCGCAGCGCUGAGUCAUCCUUCCCCCACCACCA